Molecule: ribosomal RNA, 467 nt
Filed under: uncultured bacterium
Lineage: Bacteria
Description: partial 16S ribosomal RNA
Rfam family: Bacterial small subunit ribosomal RNA
Source: RNAcentral
GACGAACGCUGGCGGCGUGCUUAACACAUGCAAGUCGAACGGAAAGACCCUGCUUUUGUGGGGUGCUCGAGUGGCGAACGGGUGAGUAACACGUGAGUAACCUGCCCUUGACUUUGGGAUAACUUCAGGAAACUGGGGCUAAUACCGGAUAGGAGCUCCUGCUGCAUGGUGGGGGUUGGAAAGUUUCGGCGGUUGGGAUGGACUCGCGGCUUAUCAGCUUGUUGGUGGGGUAGUGGCUUACCAAGGCUUUGACGGGUAGCCGGCCUGAGAGGGUGACCGGCCACAUUGGGACUGAGAUACGGCCCAGACUCCUACGGGAGGCAGCAGUGGGGAAUAUUGCACAAUGGGCGGAAGCCUGAUGCAGCAACGCCGCGUGCGGGAUGACGGCCUUCGGGUUGUAAACCGCUUUCGCCUGUGACGAAGCGUGAGUGACGGUAAUGGGUAAAGAAGCACCGGCUAACUACGUG